CCUACGGGAGGCUGCAGUGGGGAAUAUUGGACAAUGGGGGGAACCCUGAUCCAGCCAUGCCGCGUGUGUGAAGAAGGCCCUCGGGUUGUAAAGCACUUUCAGUGAGGAAGAACGCCUGGUGGUUAAUACCCAUCAGGAAAGACAUCACUCACAGAAGAAGCACCGGCUAACUCCGUGCCAGCAGCCGCGGUAAUACGGAGGGUGCGAGCGUUAAUCGGAAUUACUGGGCGUAAAGCGCGUGUAGGUGGCUUGAUAAGCCGGUUGUGAAAGCCCCGGGCUCAACCUGGGAACGGCAUCCGGAACUGUCAAGCUAGAGUGCAGGAGAGGAAGGUAGAAUUCCCGGUGUAGCGGUGAAAUGCGUAGAGAUCGGGAGGAAUACCAGUGGCGAAGGCGGCCUUCUGGACUGACACUGACACUGAGGUGCGAAAGCGUGGGUAGCAAACAGGAUUAGAUACCCGGGUAGUC
This 465-nucleotide ribosomal RNA is filed under the name Vreelandella stevensii. RNAcentral describes it as "partial 16S ribosomal RNA". It matches the Rfam family "Bacterial small subunit ribosomal RNA", at positions 338 to 795 of the family's 1533-position model. Lineage: Bacteria; Pseudomonadati; Pseudomonadota; Gammaproteobacteria; Oceanospirillales; Halomonadaceae. The record is from RNAcentral.